RNAcentral lists this ribosomal RNA (225 nucleotides) under uncultured Acidovorax sp. RNAcentral describes it as "partial 16S ribosomal RNA". It matches the Rfam family "Bacterial small subunit ribosomal RNA", at positions 1158 to 1382 of the family's 1533-position model. The record is from RNAcentral. Lineage: Bacteria; Pseudomonadati; Pseudomonadota; Betaproteobacteria; Burkholderiales; Comamonadaceae.
ACAAACCGGAGGAAGGUGGGGAUGACGUCAAGUCCUCAUGGCCCUUAUAGGUGAGGCUACACACGUCAUACAAUGGAUGGUACAAAGGGUCGCCAACCCGCGAGGGGGAGCCAAUCCCAUAAAGCCAUUCGUAGUCCGGAUCGCAGUCUGCAACUCGACUGCGUGAAGUCGGAAUCGCUAGUAAUCGUGGAUCAGAAUGUCACGGUGAAUACGUUCCCGGGUCUU